UUUUGACUAGUAUAUGGGUUAAGUACACCCGCUUAUCAUGCAGAACAUACACAGCUGUCCGCGGGAGAGCAGGGUUCGACUCCCCGGUCGAGAG
This is a non-coding RNA of Mycena galericulata, 94 nucleotides long. NCBI's taxonomy places the organism in Eukaryota, Fungi, Basidiomycota, Agaricomycetes, Agaricales, Mycenaceae. The record is from the annotation of a GenBank genome assembly.